AAUCAGAGGAUGGAUAUGCAAAUGAGGAUCUGUCCAAGCAGGAGCUGAAUGUCAACUAGUCAAAGAUGGAGGCUGGAGCUGGAAGGCCAUGAGGUUUCUACCGGGGAGGAGAACCGCCUCUCUACCCCUCAGGAAGGCGCAGGGGCAAGGCAAGAGUCGAGGCUUGGGGCCCUAUGGAAGGCUUCUAGUGGGCGAGUGGCAACCAAAGGCCCUUGCAGCCCCUUUAUCCAACUUUUCCAGAAGGAGGUGCCUUUCUAGCCCAGAUGCCAUUCAUGAAUUUGGGGUCUUAUUGCUGGAGCCUGAAUGCACACAGCUUGGGGAGUAAAUUCACAUCUGCAUAAAAAGUUGCAUUGCUUUCUGGAGAUGGUGAUGAGUGGAAUACAUAUUUAACGUGACUAUAGUUCCCAGGAAACACACUCAAAAAGUAUUCAUCAUAUUGUGUCAGUAUUAUAUAUAUUUACAUUUUAAAUUAUGCAGUUGAUAGAUUGUAAAUUACAAUUUUGCUUGUGAAGUUAUUCUGCUUGGCAGGUAUUGUGACAUUAGCAUUUUGCACCCCUAGAAUCCUGUGUGUUGUUUACCCGGGGAGCUCAGGUGUAGGGAAAGAAAAACAGGGUGUUUUUGGUGCAUAUGCGGGAUUUUAGCUGCUGAAUGAUUCAUAUAUAAUUAUGUGUAUGAAUAUAUCUAUCACUAUUGUUAUUCCUGAUGAAGUUCACCUAAACUCUUGUCAAUAUGUA
Long non-coding RNA from Bombina bombina (fire-bellied toad), 734 nucleotides. RefSeq lists it as uncharacterized. The transcript is spliced from 2 exons. The record is from RefSeq and is a predicted model, not a curated record. Lineage: Eukaryota; Metazoa; Chordata; Amphibia; Anura; Bombinatoridae.